RNAcentral lists this ribosomal RNA (484 nucleotides) under uncultured bacterium. RNAcentral describes it as "partial 16S ribosomal RNA". It matches the Rfam family "Bacterial small subunit ribosomal RNA", at positions 30 to 507 of the family's 1533-position model. The record is from RNAcentral.
AUUGAACGCUAGCGGGAUGCUUUACACAUGCAAGUCGAACGGCAGCGCGGACUUCGGUCUGGCGGCGAGUGGCGAACGGGUGAGUAAUGUAUCGGAACGUGCCCAGUAGCGGGGGAUAACUACGCGAAAGCGUAGCUAAUACCGCAUACGCCCUACGGGGGAAAGCAGGGGAUCGUAAGACCUUGCACUAUUGGAGCGGCCGAUAUCGGAUUAGCUAGUUGGUGAGGUAACGGCUCACCAAGGCGACGAUCCGUAGCUGGUUUGAGAGGACGACCAGCCACACGGGGACUGAGACACGGCCCAGACUCCUACGGGAGGCAGCAGUGGGGAAUUUUGGACAAUGGGGGCAACCCUGAUCCAGCCAUCCCGCGUGUGCGAUGAAGGCCUUCGGGUUGUAAAGCACUUUUGGCAGGAAAGAAACGUCGCGGGCUAAUACCCCGUGGAACUGACGGUACCUGCAGAAUAAGCACCGGCUAACUACGUG